UACGUAAGGGGCAAGCGUUGUCCGGAAUCACUGGGCGUAAAGCGCGCGCAGGCGGUCUUUCACGUCCGGGGUGAAAGCCCAGAGCUCAACUCUGGGAUUGCCUUGGAUACGGGGAGACUUGAGGAUCGGAGAGGCAAGGGGAAUUCCACGUGUAGCGGUGAAAUGCGUAGAGAUGUGGAGGAACACCUGUGGCGAAGGCGCCUUGCUGGCCGAUUUCUGACGCUGAGGCGCGAAAGCGUGGGGAGCAAACAGG
This 253-nucleotide ribosomal RNA is filed under the name uncultured bacterium. RNAcentral's name for it is "partial 16S ribosomal RNA". It matches the Rfam family "Bacterial small subunit ribosomal RNA", at positions 524 to 776 of the family's 1533-position model. The record is from RNAcentral.